Molecule: ribosomal RNA, 450 nt
Filed under: uncultured bacterium
Lineage: Bacteria
Description: partial 16S ribosomal RNA
Rfam family: Bacterial small subunit ribosomal RNA
Source: RNAcentral
GUGGGGAAUCUUCCGCAAUGGACGAAAGUCUGACGGAGCAACGCCGCGUGAGUGAAGAAGGUUUUCGGAUCGUAAAGCUCUUUCGUUAGGGACGAACGUGCUCUUUGUGAAUAAUGAGGAGUAAUGACGGUACCUAAAUAAGAAGCCACGGCUAACUACGUGCCAGCAGCCGCGGUAAUACGUAGGUGGCAAGCGUUGUCCGGAAUUAUUGGGCGUAAAGCGCGCGCAGGCGGGAUAUGAAGUCUGUCUUAAAAGUGCGAGGCUCAACCUCGUGAGGGGACAGAAACUGGUAUUCUUGAGUGUCGGAGAGGAAAGUGGAAUUCCAAGUGUAGCGGUGAAAUGCGUAGAGAUUUGGAAGAACACCAGUGGCGAAGGCGACUUUCUGGACGAUGUCUGACGCUGAGGCGCGAAAGCUAGGGGAGCGAACGGGAUUAGAAACCCUUGUAGUCC